RNAcentral lists this ribosomal RNA (253 nucleotides) under uncultured bacterium. Its description in RNAcentral is "partial 16S ribosomal RNA". It matches the Rfam family "Bacterial small subunit ribosomal RNA", at positions 524 to 776 of the family's 1533-position model. The record is from RNAcentral.
UACGUAGGGUGCUAGCGUUGUCCGGAAUUAUUGGGCGUAAAGAGCUCGUAGGCGGUUUGUUGCGUCGGCUGUGAAAUCCCGAGGCUCAACCUCGGGUCUGCAGUCGAUACGAGCAAACUAGAGUGUUGCAGGAGAGACUGGAAUUCCUGGUGUAGCGGUGAAAUGCGCAGAUAUCAGGAGGAACACCGGUGGCGAAGGCGGGUCUCUGGGCAGCAACUGACGCUGAGGAGCGAAAGCGUGGGGAGCGAACAGG